CACCAUGACUUUGUCUCCAUCAGUAUCUUUGAUCUCCACCUCAAUGUAGGCUUCUCUCUCAUCCGGAAUCCAAACACGUUUUUUCCCUGCACACAGAAGUAUUUGGCACUUCUGAAUUGAACUGUGAGGCUUGUGCAUCAUUAAAAAAACACAGGAUACAAACAGGACGUCUGACAGUACCAUCAAACGCAUGGGACUGCGCAGCGAGUUGUUCCAGGCGCAGACAUGUGAACCAUAUCCCAGCUGAGCAGCGUUCGUCUCCCCCACAAUUCUGGAUUCUACAUUAAUUUUUCCCACUGAUCUUCCUCUGACAGUGGCCUAAGACCCUGGCACACAGCAACCCCCCUGCACCUGUGUGUGUGAUGGAGAGCGAGAAUGAAGAGAAGGAGAGUUUGGGAAACCCUAGAUGUCCUAAUCUCAGGAUUACCAGCCAGCCCAUCCCCACAAAUCGGCAGUAAUAUUAGCUAAUCAGUCUUUUAGCAAGUGACUCAGUGGAUGAAGACAACCAGUGUCAUUCUCCCCCAUCCGGCUCCAACGCACGGCCCGUCUGCAUUGUGUUAGGUCUCCAUUGCACCACCAUCCUUCUCACACACACUCAAACACAUAGCCUAGAUAUGAGCACCCACAGCUGUCUGUCUAUUUUAGUCUGGAUUUUGACAGCAGUAUAUCUACCCCCCAAGAUCCCCUGUAACAAUCCCUGACGCCUUCACCAGAACAAUAGCCAGCAGCUCACAUAAACCUUUUAAACUUAGAAAGCGCUCAGGCUCAAGAAUAGCCCAGCCAUUCUGGCGCAAUCUCCUGCCACACGGUAAGCCCAGAAAGGACGGACAGAGUUAACAAGGCCACCAGUCAACACUGACUUGAACAAUCCUAGAUGCCUGAUUCAAGUCUAUGUGCAGAUGCACAAAGUUUGUUACAUUUUAUAAAAUGGAUAGAUUAGACUGAUAGGAUGAACUGCAUUUAAAGCCAUUGUAAAAUAUGCAUAUACACACACCUGUGCCACACAUCUUGAUGCACCAAGUUGCUCUGACCCAUAAACAGCCUAUAUAAGGCUAAUGAACUAUAUUAAUUGCUGGAACAAUUCUUUGUUCUUCUCAUUAUUAUUAAUAUAGUAAUGAUGAAAAGAAUGUAUUUUAAUAUAACUUUAAUGAUUGAAUAUUGGUCAAAAAACAACCAGGGUAAAAUCACAGUAAUGUUCAGUCUUUCUGGCUUAUCACUUUACAAUGUUUAACUGCUGUGAAUUUACAGUGAUUGAACUGUGAUGAAUGGUUACCAUGUGCAUACCCUCAUAACCUCACUUUAUCUCUCCAUCUGUCUCAUUGUCUCUUAACAUUCCCAGCAUAGGCUUCCGCUAUCAAAUUUAGUAUUUAAAUAGUACAUAUAACCGGCAAUUAAAAUUCUCAGCUCCACUUAAAUACACCUGCACAUCUCCACAUUCAUUUACUGUCUCCUACCAUGGGACAAUAGAAACCUUGACAGAUUGGAAUGGGAAGUAGAUACGGGUUAAUUCAGUCAGUCUCCCAUGUAUUGCUAUGUAAAAUGUCUCUUAACAAUUCAAAAGCCCAGGGAUUGAUGGAAACAUCCACACGAAUGACUCAGAAAACCCAUAUUAGCUGUAUCCAACAACUGCUGGAGAAUGUACACACAAUAACACUAUAUACCUACAGUUCUUAUCCCUUGCCUUGAAUACUGCCCUGUUACUGUAGUAUAAAUGUAGAUAUUUUAGUUGUUUAAAAAUGUUUCCAUUUAUAAACUUGAUUAUGUCAUCCUAUUUUAUUUAAGACAUGUUUGCAUGUUCCACUAUGUCCAACUGGCACAGGAGUUUAGUCAUACCCAGCCAACAUUUCCAUGUGGUUUUUUGAUGGGCUGUCACUUGAGCACUGCAUGGGCAACCCAAAUGGGACCCAGAGAAAUUUGUUCAUUGGCUAGAUAUGUAUGUUAGCCCAUAGGGGCACAUGAUGGGUCCAUUGUAAACUCUAAGUGGGGAUGUUCAUUUAGAUGUUCAUUAUAUAGGCUUACUCGAGACCCCAAAUGGGUGCUAAUAAUGGGGCCGAGAUGGGCUACACAGAAAAAGCUUAUGGGGCCCACAUGCGUGAUCACACUCAUCCACAAAUGGCCCUACUAUGUUUUGUGGGACCACGUUGGGGGAAAAUAGGGCCCCAUUUAUUAAUUUCUUGAAAGAUUCCAGUGGGUCAAAUAAUGACCUGCAAAAUUCACAUUCAAAGCACUCGACUCUGAUGAUUUACAGUGGGUACGGAAAGUAUUCAGACCCCCUUAAAUUUUUCACUCUUUGU
Molecule: long non-coding RNA, 2294 nt
Organism: Megalobrama amblycephala (Wuchang bream)
Lineage: Eukaryota; Metazoa; Chordata; Actinopteri; Cypriniformes; Xenocyprididae
Exons: 3
Source: RefSeq, a predicted model, not a curated record